GUGUUGUAUGAAAGGAGAGAAGGUUAGCACUCCCCUUGAUAAGGAUGGAAGAGGUCCUAGUGACCUUUACAACACGCAUAUGGUUAAGGCAUUGCCACUUACUUCGUGGCAUCUAACCAAGUUUUUUU
Small nuclear RNA from Chelydra serpentina (North American snapping turtle), 128 nucleotides. The record is from Ensembl. NCBI's taxonomy places the organism in Eukaryota, Metazoa, Chordata, Testudines, Chelydridae.